CAAAAGGUUUUAUCUCCUGGGGAUUUAAGAGAUGUGUGGAUGUGGCACUUGGGGACAUGGGUUAGAGGUGGCCUUGGCAGCGCAGGGAGAAGGGUUGAACUCACUGACAUAGAGGGC
Molecule: long non-coding RNA, 117 nt
Organism: Corapipo altera (White-ruffed manakin)
Lineage: Eukaryota; Metazoa; Chordata; Aves; Passeriformes; Pipridae
Exons: 4
Source: RefSeq, a predicted model, not a curated record